CUGUUACAGUCGCUUGUUCAAGUCGGUGUCGCGUAAGAAUUUCAAUCUUUCGCCUUUUACUAAAGAUUGCCGUGGGGGAGGACACUCUAAUGAGCCUAUAGGCCAAUUUUUGGGAGGCCUUGCCC
Molecule: small nuclear RNA, 125 nt
Organism: Rhipicephalus microplus (southern cattle tick)
Lineage: Eukaryota; Metazoa; Arthropoda; Arachnida; Ixodida; Ixodidae
Product: U5 spliceosomal RNA
Source: RefSeq, a predicted model, not a curated record